GGCACUGACUGCUACCGGAUUGAUACUAAGCCAUGCGAGUCAUUGUAGUAAUACAAGGCAGACGGCUCAGUAACGCGUAGCCACCUAACCUAUGGACGGGAAUAACCUCGGGAAACUGAGUAUAAUGCCCGAUAGAACAUUAUGCCUGGAAUGGUUUAUGUUCCAAAUGAUUUAUCGCCGUAGGAUGGGACUGCGGCCUAUCAGUUUGUUGGUGAGGUAAUGGCCCACCAAGACUAUUACAGGUACGGGCUCUGAGAGGAGUGGCCCGGAGAUGGGUACUGAGACACGGACCCAGGCCCUAUGGGGCGCAGCAGGCGAGAAAACUUUGCAAUGUGCGAAAGCACGACAAGGUUAAUCCGAGUGGUUUCUGCUAAAGGAACCUUUUGUCGGUCCUAGAAACACCGAUGAAUAAGGGGUGGGCAAGUUCUGGUGUCAGCCGCCGCGGUAAAACCGGCACCUCAAGUGGUCAGGAUGAUUAUUGGGCCUAAAGCAUCCGUAGCCGGCUUUGUUAGUUUUCGGUUAAAUCUGUACGCUUAACGUACAGGCUGCCGGGAAUACUGCAGAGCUAGGGAGUGGGAGAGGUAGACGGUACUCGGUAGGAAGGGGUAAAAUCCUUUGAUCUAUUGAUGACCACCUGUGGCGAAGGCGGUCUACCAGAACACGUCCGACGGUGAGGGAUGAAAGCUGGGGGAGCAAACCGGAUUAGAUACCCGGGUAGUCCCAGCUGUAAACUAUGCAAACUCAGUGAUGCAUUGGCUUGUGGCCAAUGCAGUGCUGCAGGGAAGCCGUUAAGUUUGCCGCCUGGGAAGUACGUACGCCAGU
Molecule: ribosomal RNA, 822 nt
Filed under: uncultured marine archaeon
Lineage: Archaea
Description: bacterial SSU rRNA
Rfam family: Archaeal small subunit ribosomal RNA
Source: RNAcentral